UAAUACCGCAUAACGUCGAAAGACCAAAGAGGGGGACCUCGGGCCUCUUGCCAUCGGAUGUGCCCAGAUGGGAUUAGCUUGUUGGUGGGGUAACGGCUCACCAAGGCGACGAUCCCUAGCUGGUCUGAGAGGAUGACCAGCCACACUGGAACUGAGACACGGUCCAGACUCCUACGGGAGGCAGCAUG
RNAcentral lists this ribosomal RNA (188 nucleotides) under uncultured bacterium. Its description in RNAcentral is "partial 16S ribosomal RNA". It matches the Rfam family "Bacterial small subunit ribosomal RNA", at positions 164 to 353 of the family's 1533-position model. The record is from RNAcentral.